Long non-coding RNA from Octopus sinensis (East Asian common octopus), 137 nucleotides. RefSeq lists it as uncharacterized. The record is from RefSeq and is a predicted model, not a curated record. Lineage: Eukaryota; Metazoa; Mollusca; Cephalopoda; Octopoda; Octopodidae. The transcript is spliced from 3 exons.
AGCAACAUUGACCUUAGAAAUUGCUUAUAGAAUCUUUAGUAUCACUGAAGUAAUAACGCAAACAUUUUUUAAACAGACAACACUAAUGGGGAUUUCUUAUUUUCUUAUUUUUUUAUUUCUUAUUUCUUAUUUUCCAG